This 636-nucleotide long non-coding RNA is filed under the name Heterocephalus glaber (naked mole-rat). RNAcentral describes it as "lncRNA (ENSHGLG00000043113.1)". The record is from RNAcentral. Lineage: Eukaryota; Metazoa; Chordata; Mammalia; Rodentia; Bathyergidae.
CUUGAAGACAGCCAUCUGUAAACCACGGAGAAGACCUUCACCGGUUUCAAGAUCUGUUGGUACCUUAAUCUUGCAUGCCCAUCUUCCAGAAAAGUGAGAAAGAAAGAUCUUCAGGCAUGUGAACGUCCUAAUGAGGGGGAAACCUAGAUGCCUUGCAUGAUAAUGUAAUUAUACUGAUGCUGAUAGUUAUGGUGAACAUCCUUCUCUACACAAUGUCAAGACAAAGGGGUCCUACUGAUGUUGGCGAAAAUGACAAGCAUUGUAUUUUCUCUCCUGCAUUAAAAAAAUAAACUACAAAAUUUUUCUGAACCCACUCCAUGUUAAGGAAGCUAAUUGAAAAGAUUUAUCAGGAAUCAAGAGGACUGGACAGAUCUCAGUUGUUGAACACAGAAAAGGCCAUGUCCAGCUAUUGGGUCUUAGGAGUCUUGUGGCCCAUCUGAAAAUCUACCAGGAUCUUUUGAAAGUACUGAGCCUUUCUAAGGCACUAGCCUCUGGUGGAAACAGGUGGGAGAGACUCACAUUCCCCUGAGAGACAGGAUGUGAAUAUCAAGAGGAAGAAACUGCAUAAACUGUGCAUGGGCUUGUUCAGGAUUAUUCUCACAACCCUCUAUGAACCUCUUAAAAGUUCAUGUGAAU